CGGACUGGUUUAAGGCAGCUCCAGAUGAACCUGAUUGUGCAGAAAAGGAAGUUGCAAAAGCUCUUCCAGCAUUAUCCGGAA
This is a small nucleolar RNA of Salvia splendens (bonfire salvia), 81 nucleotides long. NCBI's taxonomy places the organism in Eukaryota, Viridiplantae, Streptophyta, Magnoliopsida, Lamiales, Lamiaceae. The record is from RefSeq and is a predicted model, not a curated record.